CAGCACGUAAUGGUGGGAACUCUAGUCAGACUGCCCAGAUCAACUGGGAGGAAGGUGGGGACGACGUCAGGUCAGUAUGGCCCUUACGCCUUGGGCUGCACACGUACUACAAUGCCCAGUACAAUGAGAACCGAGACCGCGAGGUGGAGGAAAUCUACAAAACUGGGCCCAGUUCGGAUUGGAGGCUGCAACUCGCCUCCAUGAAGCCGGAAUCGCUAGUAAUGCUGCAUCAGCUACGGCAGCGUGAAUACGUUCCCGGGUCUUGUACACACCGCCCGUCACAUCAUGGAAGCCGGUAGCACCCGAAGUAUCGUACGAUCCUAAGGUGAAGCUGGUAACUGGGAUGAAGUCGUAACAAGGUAGCCGUAGGGGAACCUGCGGCUGGAUCACCUCCUUUCUAUGGAGUA
Molecule: ribosomal RNA, 407 nt
Filed under: Pseudomonadota bacterium
Lineage: Bacteria; Pseudomonadati; Pseudomonadota
Description: bacterial SSU rRNA
Rfam family: Bacterial small subunit ribosomal RNA
Source: RNAcentral